AAAAUCGUUUCAAUCUGAAAAAAAAUGGACUAUACAGUCGAAAUUAAGUGAAAAUGUCGGAAGCUCCCCCUUUUUUUAAUGAACAAUGGUUGGUAAUAAUAACUUGUUGUAGAAAGAAGAGAAUUAGUAAAAACAAAACAGAGAAAUAAUAAAUCUAAAAAAAAAUAAUAUAUAAAACUAUGUUGGACGGAACGCUUUGGUAAGAAGUGGACCAAUACCCCAUCCACCUUCAACAUCCAAAGCGCUUGCAACAAAUGCAGAAAAUUCUUUAACGCACGUCGAGGGGGCUGUAUUUUGUGCAUCCUCUUUCAUAUUUAAGGAAGUAGAAAGUUUCUUCCAUAACAUAGUAAAUGUUUGAAGAGAAGAAGUACUAAUCUGAUCGAAAUCACGCAAAGCGUAAAGGCCCUGCAAAAAUAUACGAAAAAGUGUCAAAUGUGGUACUGGUAAAUCGAAUUUAAACUUCGUUAGUUCCGUUUCAGCAUAUCGUAAACCCCAAAUCACAUUUUCCCAGCCCAUAGUCAAAUUAUAGGUAGUCAUACAAGGAGAAAUGUAAUCAUCAUCCAUCCACGAGUCAUCUUUAAAGUAUGAAGUGGCUGAUUCUAAGUCAGUCAAUGUAAUAGAGCGUAAAAAAAGUGGAUCGGGAAGAUAGUAAUAAGUGAGUACUAAAUGCCAUAAGCAAAGAAAAAUAGAACUUGUUUUUGCACAUGGGUUCGAGAGUUCCAUACUGACCUUUAAAUGUUGAAGCAUGAUUUCAUAUGAUCUGUUUGGCUGCCUUGGUAAACCAAUCAUACUCAAUUUAGCUUCAUCGCGAAUGAACUCAAAAAUGGCGAACAAUAAAACAAACCCUGAAAUAUUGGUUUCCUCAAGAAGUAGAGGUCCAUUAACCAAGAUACUUAAAGCAUCUCUAGGAUUGAGAGGAUUGGGUCUCCAAUAAUCCUUAGAAAGUAACUCUUUAGAACUCCAAAGUGCGCUCGAUAUGGGUAAGGGCAUUUGUAAUUCUAAGACAGAAAGGGAGGGAGGUUUAUUAAAAAUUAAUGCUAAAAACCACUCGAGGAUAUACAAACAAAACACACUUCUUCUAAUACAUUCAAGAUCUAUUAGAUUCGAAAUAUCGGUAUCUCCUUCGACCGACCAAUUUAACUUUGUCCAGCCAAAAGUGCGGCUUUCAUGAACUAAGUCUUUCAGUAAGACGUGACCAAUACCGGAAAAACAGGCAGUCUUUUCGAAUAAAGAGGCGGUACAAAACAACAAUCUAGAUUGAAAAACCCAGGCUUUUUUUACUCGCUCAGGAUCACCCUGUAAGUAGAGCUGAAGAACAUGAAAGCCGCUGUCCCAAAACAAUAAUGCCAUAGAAAAAUCACUUUCUAUACCAGUACACAAGCAUGCAAUCACAACUAGAGAGCGAAGAAAUGAAGCAGCAACAUUCUCGGAAUUAAACGAUGCUUGAUGAAUAAAAGGGAAAACAGGAUGAAACCACUCAAAGUAACCUUCGAUAUAAUGUUCUAAGAAAUCCGAAGGAAUCAAAGGAAGAAUGGUAAAAUAAGGACGCAAACUUGGAUGAUAAGCUUUUGGCACAUCUAUUGCAUCGAAAGAAGGUAAAACAAUUUUCAUAUUAUCUUCUUGCUGUGAUGCGGCAGCCUUUACGUCCAGCACAUCUUUCGAGCCUUCUUCGAUAACAGACUUAUCAUUAUGGAAUCGCUGUAUGUGGCGUUUGAGUAAAUCUUUUCUUUUGCAUUUGAUCUCACAAUAGGGACAAGGUAUAGGUUCAGCCUUACUAUGACAAGCCUUAUGUCGAGUUAGAUUUUCAUGCCUCGUAAAACGCUUGGCGCACUGGUCGCAAGGAAAGACGCGCUUAGAAUCAAUCAAUGAAGGUUCAGUCAACUUCCUCUUAGCAGACAAAACAUUCGUUGAAUUUUCAGAAACAUGAUCUACCAUAUUUGUGGAGAAAUCAAUACAAAACUUUCCCAAAGAAAAUCCAACGCAUAAAUAAGUAUAAAAUUUUAAAAAGUGUUAACCAAAAACGGGUAUAAACAAACAAUAAAUAUUAAAGAGGAAGGGAAACACUGUCAGACAACAGAUUUCCUAUGCAAAAACUAUGGUAGGUGGCUCAAUUGCAAAAUGUUAGAUAAAUUUUGACGCAACAAUUAAUGAACACCUUUUUACACAACAGAUUUAUACUUUUAAGCUUAAUACCAUCAGCAAUAGACUAUUUCCAAAUGUUUUUUCGUAUGGUAAAGGACAAGUAAGCAUUAUGAAUAAUUGUCGCGAUUAUCUCUCUUUAACCCUAAACAGAUGCUUCUGAUAAA
Molecule: long non-coding RNA, 2306 nt
Filed under: Schizosaccharomyces pombe (fission yeast)
Lineage: Eukaryota; Fungi; Ascomycota; Schizosaccharomycetes; Schizosaccharomycetales; Schizosaccharomycetaceae
Source: RNAcentral